This 71-nucleotide transfer RNA is filed under the name Pseudoalteromonas sp. CO109Y. RNAcentral describes it as "tRNA-Glu". It matches the Rfam family "tRNA". From Rfam's summary of the family: Transfer RNA (tRNA) molecules are approximately 80 nucleotides in length. Their secondary structure includes four short double-helical elements and three loops (D, anti-codon, and T loops). Lineage: Bacteria; Pseudomonadati; Pseudomonadota; Gammaproteobacteria; Alteromonadales; Pseudoalteromonadaceae. The record is from RNAcentral.
CAUCGUCUAGAGGCCUAGGACACCGCCCUUUCACGGCGGUAACAGGGGUUCGAAUCCCCUUGGGGACGCCA